AGGGAGACCUAAUUCGGGUAGGAGACGAAAAAAAAGUAGUCGCUACCAAGAAUCAAUCCCAAAAGGUCGGAGCGAGGCAAGAUUGGCUUUCAAACUAGGUUCUGGGUUCACACAAGACCUGAAUCAGGAACAAGGGCUAUUAGCUCAGGUGGUUAGAGCGCACCCCUGAUAAGGGUGAGGUCCCUGGUUCGAGUCCAGGAUGGCCCACCUGCACAGGUGGCAAAAACAAAGAAAAAAAGCUCCGAAUCAGCACCUUAUCUUACUUAUAUAGUAAGAGAGAAUGCUGGCUCUGAGUACAGAGUCCAGAGGAACCUUGAAAACUGCAUAGAGCUAGGUGAAAAAGCCAAAAAAGAAGACCGCAAGGUCAAGCUAAUAAGGGCUAACGGUGGAUACCUAG
RNAcentral lists this transfer RNA (397 nucleotides) under Microcystis aeruginosa PMC 155.02. RNAcentral's name for it is "partial contains 16S-23S ribosomal RNA intergenic spacer and 23S ribosomal RNA". The stretch from base 134 to 207 matches the Rfam family "tRNA". The record is from RNAcentral. RNAcentral also lists the same sequence under 1 other name. Lineage: Bacteria; Bacillati; Cyanobacteriota; Cyanophyceae; Chroococcales; Microcystaceae.